GGAGGGAUGGCCGAGUGGUCGAUGGCGGCGGUCUUGAAAACCGUUGGACCCGGAAGGGUACCGGGGGUUCGAAUCCCUCUCCCUCCGCCA
This 90-nucleotide transfer RNA is filed under the name Gemmatimonadaceae bacterium. Its description in RNAcentral is "tRNA-Ser". It matches the Rfam family "tRNA". From Rfam's summary of the family: Transfer RNA (tRNA) molecules are approximately 80 nucleotides in length. Their secondary structure includes four short double-helical elements and three loops (D, anti-codon, and T loops). Lineage: Bacteria; Pseudomonadati; Gemmatimonadota; Gemmatimonadia; Gemmatimonadales; Gemmatimonadaceae. The record is from RNAcentral.